UUUUUUACAUAAAAUGUAUGAGUUGAUGUUUGAAACGGCAUUCUGUAGUGAAAAUCACGUUUAAUUUCGACAAGAGCUUCGCAUCGCAACAUCAUUUUAUUUGUCAAAUCAAAAGUUAGUGUUUUAAGUGUUUGUUGUGAGUGAGAAUAUACGAAAACGUAAUAAGCCACUGUUAAUUAUUAAAAAAAUACUAUUAAUUACCAAAAUUGCACUUUAAAAUAACUUUAUUCUUCAUCGAUAUUUUAUGGAGUGUAUGUUUUUAUUGAAAACAUUGUUGAAAGAGGCUGACGCUACGGAUCAGCGUGAAAUGCGUCGAAAAACCUACGAAAUUCACAAUUUAUCACUUUUAACUUGAGAUGACGACUAUGUAAAAGUAUAAAGAAAGUGUAUAGAUUGUCGAAGGAUCAUAUGAACCAGUUAGGAUGUGAAUUACACCCUUUCAUGAAGACCACUAAAAGUCAGUGAAAAGGACUUUCAACUCUUCUAAAGUUAUUGUGCACCUUGUUAUUUUUGGUCAAUUGAAGUUACCAAAAAAAUCAUAAAAGAAAAUAUAAGAACAUAUUUGUCCCAGACAUCCCAGUGUAUAUUUGAGAUUGUGGAGGCUCUGAACAACCCAGCAACUAUAUAUAAAUAUUUAAGAUUCCCACAGAAUGCUCAAGAAUGGCAAAAGUUGAAGAAAAAGCGAAGAAAAAAGAAGGUGGAUUAAGCUAAAUAAAAAAAAAAUUUUUUCAUAAAAAUUACCAAUAUUAAUGUAAUGCUAAAUAUUGUAGUUUUUAUGAAAAAUUUAGAAUCCUUUGGGUUAUUGGGUGUAUUGAUGGGAAGUUGGUGGCCUUAAAAAGAUCUGCUAUAAAAAAAAAUGGUUUUCACUGUCGCAAAGGAUAUCAUGCAAGAAAUGUACAAUUUGUAAAGCUAUUAAUAUUUUUCGAAAUUCUGAUAUGUAAUCCAUAAACGAAAUGUGUAUUAAGAACCUAUGUAUUCAUUUCAGUUAAAUUGUAAUUGUGUUUAUUGCUAUAAGUUAUUGUGAAAUUUAGUAUUUAUCUUAAAUAAACUUUAUUCAGUUAUAAUCAAAACAAAAUAAAAUCUAGUAAAAUCUAAGUAAUGAUCAUUAUAAUUAUUUAACAUCUUUUCGGGCUUUCUGUAUAUGCUCAACGUUCCAACCUUAUAACACCUUUUGCUAUUUUUUUUUCAUUGCUUAGAUCGGUGGACGAGCUGCCAGCCCACCUGGUGUUAAAUGGUUACUGGAGCCCAUAGACAUCUACAAAGUAAAUGCGCCACCCACCUUGAGAUAUAAAUUCUAAGGUCUCAGUAUAGUUACAACAGCUGCCCCACCCUUCAAACCGAAACGCAUUACUGCUUCACGGCAGAAAGAGGCGAUAACGCUAUGCUAUGCUAGCUAAUACCUGCUAAUAAUAGCUAGCUAAUGCUAACACGGAGGAAGAUACUCAUGAAGUUUUGUAGCACCGCCUUCAUUCCACUGCCCGUAACUCAGUGGAAAGAACAAUAGGUAUGUUAAAGAGUAGAUUCAGGUGUUUGCUGAUCUAUAGGGUGCCAAUUUAUCACCCUGAUAAGGUAGCAAAAAUAGUUGUUGCGUGUUGUUUUGCACAACAUUUGCAAUUGUGCAGAGCUGCCAGUUCCCAUGAUCUCAGAUGAUGAGACUACAUGUACAUUAUGGUGGUCAUGUUGAAUUACUUUGUUAAAUUUUACUAAUUAGCUUACUUAUAGUGUGAAGUAACUUCAAAUAUAAAUUAAUGAUUUAUAAAAA
This is a long non-coding RNA of Bombyx mori (domestic silkworm), 1762 nucleotides long. RefSeq lists it as uncharacterized. The record is from RefSeq and is a predicted model, not a curated record. NCBI's taxonomy places the organism in Eukaryota, Metazoa, Arthropoda, Insecta, Lepidoptera, Bombycidae. The transcript has 2 exons.